ACAAAUUAAAGCUAAAAGCUUAGGGGCUCAUAAUCUCUAGAAUUAUAUUGUU
This 52-nucleotide transfer RNA is filed under the name Sarcoptes scabiei. RNAcentral's name for it is "tRNA-Met". Lineage: Eukaryota; Metazoa; Arthropoda; Arachnida; Sarcoptiformes; Sarcoptidae. The record is from RNAcentral.